CCUACGGGAGGCAGCAGUGAGGAAUAUUGGUCAAUGGGCGAGAGCCUGAACCAGCCAAGUCGCGUGAGGGAGUACUGCCCUAUGGGUUGUAAACCUCUUUUGUCGGGGAGCAAAAGCCGGACGUGUCCGGCUGUGAGAGUACCCGAAGAAAAAGCAUCGGCUAACUCCGUGCCAGCAGCCGCGGUAAUACGGAGGAUGCGAGCGUUAUCCGGAUUUAUUGGGUUUAAGGGGUGCGCAGGCGGAUUUUUAAGUCAGCGGUAAAAUCGUGGGGCUCAACCCCAUCCAGCCGUUGAAACUGGGGAUCUAGAGUGUGCGAGAGGUAUGCGGAAUGCGUGGUGUAGCGGUGAAAUGCAUAGAUAUCACGCAGAACCCCGAUUGCGAAGGCAACAUACCGGUGCACAACUGACGCUCAGGCACGAAAGCGUGGGUAUCGAACAGGAUUAGAUACCCUUGUAGUC
Molecule: ribosomal RNA, 458 nt
Filed under: uncultured bacterium
Lineage: Bacteria
Description: partial 16S ribosomal RNA
Rfam family: Bacterial small subunit ribosomal RNA
Source: RNAcentral